RNAcentral lists this ribosomal RNA (484 nucleotides) under uncultured bacterium. RNAcentral describes it as "partial 16S ribosomal RNA". It matches the Rfam family "Bacterial small subunit ribosomal RNA", at positions 28 to 507 of the family's 1533-position model. The record is from RNAcentral.
AUUGAACGCUGGCGGCAUGCUUUACACAUGCAAGUCGAACGGCAGCGCGGGCUUCGUCCUGGCGGCGCGUGGCGAACGGGUGAGUAAUGCAUCUGAAUGUGCCCCGUAUUGGUGGAUAGUCCGGCGAAAGCCGGAUUAAUACUGCCUACGACCUGCGGGUGAAACCGGGGGACCGAAAGGCCUCGCCCUCUUGGCGCGGCCGAUGUCGGAUUAGCUAGUUGGUGGGGUAAAGGCUUACUAAGGCGACGAUCCGUAGCUGGUCUGAGAGGACGACAAGCCACACUGGGACUGAGACACGGCCAAGACUCCUACGGGAGGCAGCAGUGGGGAAUUUUGGACAAUGGGGGCAAGCCUGAUCCAGCCAUGCCGAGUGCGGGAAGAAGGCCUUCGGGUUGUAAACCGCUUUUGUGCGGGAAGAAAUGCUCUGGGCUAAUACCCCGGGGGGAUGACGGUACCGGAAGAAGAAGCACCGGCUAACUACGUG